RNAcentral lists this ribosomal RNA (906 nucleotides) under uncultured archaeon. Its description in RNAcentral is "bacterial SSU rRNA". It matches the Rfam family "Archaeal small subunit ribosomal RNA", at positions 23 to 922 of the family's 1478-position model. The record is from RNAcentral.
GCUACUGCCAUCAGAGUUCGAUUAAGCCAUGUUAGUUGAGGGUAGCUCUUCUUCGGAAGAGGGAACCCGGCAGACGGCUCAGUAACACGUGGACAACUUACCCUUAGGACCGGGAUAACUCCUGGGAAACUGGAGAUAAUACCGGAUAGAGCAUCGAAUGCUGGAAUGCACGAUGUUCAAAAGCUGAGGCGCCUAAGGAUAGGUCUGCGGCCGAUUAGGUUGUUGUUGAUGUGAUGGAUUAACAAGCCUACGAUCGGUAUGGGUUGUGAGAGCAAUAGCCCAGAGAUGGGUUCUGAGAAAAGAACCCAGGUCCUACGGGAUGCAUCAGGCGCGAAAACUUUACAAUGUGCGAAAGCACGAUAAGGGAACUCUGAGUGCCUCCUACGGAGGCUGUUCAGUUGUCUAAAACGCAUCUGAAGGAAGGGCUGGGUAAGACCGGUGCCAGCCGCCGCGGUAACACCGGCAGCCCAAGUGGUAGCCAUGUUUAUUGGGUCUAAAGCGUCCGUAGCCGGCCACGUAAGUUCCUUGGGAAAUUUGAUCGCUUAACGGUCAAGCUUUCGGGGAAUACUGCCUGGCUUGGGACCGGGAGAGGUCAGAGGGACUCCAAGGGUAGGGGUGAAAUCCUUUAAUCCUUGGUGGACCACCGGUAGCGAAGGCGUCUGACCAGACCGGAUCCGACGGUGAGGGACGAAGGCUAGGGUCACGAACCGGAUUAGAUACCCGGGUAGUCCUAGCUGUAAACGAUGCGGGCCAGGUGUUGGCAUUACUGCGAGUGAUGCCAGUGCCGAAGGGAAGCCGUUAAGCCCGCCAUCUGGGGAGUACGGUCGCAAGGCUGAAACUUAAAGGAAUUGGCGGGGGAGCACCACAACGGGUGGAGCCUGCGGUUCAAUUGGAUUCAACGCCGGG